Molecule: long non-coding RNA, 333 nt
Organism: Pomacea canaliculata
Lineage: Eukaryota; Metazoa; Mollusca; Gastropoda; Architaenioglossa; Ampullariidae
Exons: 4
Source: RefSeq, a predicted model, not a curated record
CAAGGAUAUGAGGGCACAUCUUUACAUCCUUAGUGUUUAAUUGACAGACUCCGACUGCCCCCUAAAGGACUUGAGUGUCCAACGAUGCACGGCACUCCCAGCACAGUGCUCAGUUUGGACAUACACCAAGCCGUGCACACCAACACGCCUGACGAGACAGAAUGGUAUCAUCAGUGCUUUCGACGGCAUACAAAUAUAAGUUGGUAGCGAAGGAGACUUUUGAAGCCGGCCAUCUUCUUUCGGACGACCUUCUCGAACUCCUCGUUCUGCGCCACAGUGAACCAGUUCUUCCAGUCUCCUACAACUCCUGCAGAUAUUACACUGAAUAGUUUG